Molecule: ribosomal RNA, 357 nt
Filed under: Oophaga histrionica (harlequin poison frog)
Lineage: Eukaryota; Metazoa; Chordata; Amphibia; Anura; Dendrobatidae
Description: partial 12S ribosomal RNA
Rfam family: Bacterial small subunit ribosomal RNA
Source: RNAcentral
UUAGUCGUAGAUUGCUCAAUCCACCAUCGCCCGGGCAACUACGAGCUGAAGCUAAAACCCAAAGGACUUGACGGUACCCCAUAUCCCCCUAGAGGAGCCUGUCCUAUAACCGAUAAUCCCCGUUUAACCUCACCAUUUCUAGCUAAAACAGCCUGUAUACCUCCGUCGUCAGCUCACCGCGUGAGCGUCAGCGAGCCUAAUGUUAAUUCAAUACACGUCAGGUCAAGGUGCAACAUAUGUAAUGGGAAGAGAUGGGCUACACUCUCUAAUUUAGAAUAUACGAAAACUACAUUUGAAAUCUAGUCAAAAGGUGGAUUUAGAAGUAAAACGGAACAAGAGAGUCCUGGGCACAUCUUU